Molecule: unclassified non-coding RNA, 4821 nt
Filed under: Limulus polyphemus (Atlantic horseshoe crab)
Lineage: Eukaryota; Metazoa; Arthropoda; Merostomata; Xiphosura; Limulidae
Description: vesicle-associated membrane protein 3-like, transcript variant X1
Source: RNAcentral
AAAUCAACUCGGUAAAAGUGGAAACGUUGAUGACAUCACUCAGUGCUCGACGCUUAGGCCACUGUAUAUUUUCCACAUAGGUGUUACAACUUCCUUUCAUUUUGGUCCUAACUUUAAGUGUUGUAGAUUGUAACAAUGUCUCAGGAUGGUAGAACAACUGGGCCCCAAGGAGAGGAAGGAGCUCGACAACCUAACCUCCAACACCAAGCAGCAUCUAAGAGAGUACAGCAAACACAAGCUCAAGUUGAUGAGGUUGUGGAUAUCAUGAAAACCAACGUGGAAAAAGUCCUGGAACGAGAUCAGAAAUUGUCUGAAUUGGAUGAUCGUGCAGAUGCAUUGCAGCAAGGGGCAUCACAGUUUGAACAACAAGCUGGUAAACUGAAGAGAAAGUUUUGGUGGAAGAACUGUAAGAUGUGGGCCAUAAUUAUAGGAAUUGUCGUCAUUAUUAUAAUUAUUAUUAUUGUGUAUGCCGUUACUCAGAACAAGAGUGCAUAGUAUGGAAAUAUUGAAUGUGGUUUCAAUAUUUGCUGAUUCUGGUUUGAGCUCAUUCCAUUUUCAGACUGUCAGGUUGCAAAAAGUGGAUCUGUAUAUGUAUAAAUAAAUAUGUAAAUAUGCUAUACAUGAUGACGUGUAGCUAAUCUAGAGGUUGGCUUGGCAGCACAGCAUUUUCUACAACCUCAACUUGACACGAUCAGUUGUUGUAUGAGCCUUAAUCACAGAAAGAAAAUUAUCUUGGUGUUUUGGUGUUUCAAACUGUUUUCAGCAUCUAGCAAAUAUAUAGCAUAAAAGGGAACUGGUUGAAUGGAGAUCAGCAAUUAGAUUAUUUUUUUGGGGGUUUGAUUGUCUUUCUUUAUGGUUUGUAGAAAAAAUAAAGUACAGUUUCUAUUGUCUUACAGUUUUCCAUCAGUGAUUACCAUUAAAAGUAAAAACAAAAUACAAAUUGGAGGGGGAGAAAUAAAGGUUAUUUUGUUGUUUUUCUUAAAAUUGUAUAAAAUUCUUACAUUUAACAUCAGUUUGUUAUUUUUAAAUAAAUAUAACUAGCAUAUUAGGUUAAGUAGCAUAUCAGGUGUCUGUCAGUUCGACUAGUGUUAUUCAAAAGUAUUUUUCCCUCAUAACUUAGUGCAUGUAAUGUUCAACAUUGAAAUACCACAUCAUAACAUUAAAAAUAUCUAAUAAAAGGUCAUUGGUCCAGUUUUAUGGGUUUACAUGAUGUAAUAUGCAGCAAUUUUUAUGAUUAAGGGUUUCUUUUUGGCAUGUUUUAUUAUUAUUAUCUUUUUCUCAUAAUUCAAUUGCGUAAAAUGUUUCUUUUACCUUGUGUAGGUUUUAGGCCUUGUAAGUUAAAUGAUAACACAUUAAAUCAAGUUAUUAAAAUUUAAUUAUUGAUAUCAUUUCCUUCCUCAUUGUGAAAAUUUAAAGUCGUAUUUCCAGUGUCAUCCUUUCUUUUUUCUGACAGUUUUGGACACAGUUACUGCACCUGUAUUUUCAUGUGUGUUUGUGUACUUCAUGUUGUUGUUUUUACAGCACUUGUUUAUUCAGUUAAUAGGUUCUGGUUUACUGUGUGCCAUUUUUUUGAUUGAUGGUAAUCAAAUUGUCUGAUUUGGUCUUGAGCAUGCUGUUUGUUUCUCUGUGUAAAAAUAAAAUCCUAAGUAAACGUUAUUAUGAUUUAGUCUUGAACAUGUUUGUUUCUCUGUGUAAAGAUCAAAUCCCAAGUAAACAUUAGUUUGAUUUGGUCUUGAGCAUGUUUGUUUCUCUGUGUAAAGAACAAAUCCCAAGUAAACAUUAGUUUGAUUUGGUCUUGAGCAUGUUUGUUUCUCUGUGUAAAGAUCAAAUCCCAAGUAAACAUUAGUUUGAUUUGGUCUUGAGCAUGUUUGUUUCUCUGUGUAAAGAUCAAAUCCCAAGUAAACAUUAGUUUGAUUUGGUCUUGAACAUGUUUGUUUCUCUGUGUAAAGAUCAAAUCCCAAGUAAACAUUAGUUGGAUUUGGUGUUGAACAUAUUGUUUGUUUUUCUGUAUAAAGAUCAAAUCCCAAGUAAACAUUAGUCUGAUUUGAUCUUGAGCAUGUUGGUUUUCUAUAUAAAGAUCAAAUCCUAGCUGAAUAAUAGUCUGAUUCUGAUCAUGUUUGUUUCUCUGUGUAUUGAUAAAAUCCCAGCUAAACAUUAGUCUGAUUUGUACUUGAGAAUGUUGUUUGUUUCUUUUGACGUUAAAGAAAAUAGAUUGUCAUUUGAAAGAGAAAAUAUUAAACCUGCUACAGACUAUUUAAUAGUCUACUUAUGGCUUUAGUGGUGAAAAAAAAAAAAGAAUCUGAUAGUUUCAUGAACAUUGCACUCAUUUGUGUUGUUUAAAAACACCUUGAUUUCUGCAUUAUUCUGUGCAACUUUUAAUGUUUCUCGUUUUCAACAGCUACACAUAUUUGAAAAAAGCAGAUUGCCCUUAGUUUUAUUUCAUUACAGCUGUCAGUUCCUACAGUCAGUAUCAAUGGAAUGCUUUAACCAAGGAGUUAAUAAGCAUGUUGAGAAAUAAAAGUAACUUAAAUGUUUGAACAUCAUUGUAUGUGUCUUACACCCUUAAAAUAAUUUUAAAGAUGUAUGUUCCUUUACUUUAUGUGAUUUGAUUUGUUUGUUUUUUCUUUAUGCAUGUAAUAAAUCUGUUUUCUAAAAUGUGAAAAAAAGAGGAACAAAUUUAAAAACUUCCUGACUGUGACAACUUUUUUUUGGGGGGGGGGGAAUCACACACCUUUUUAUGAAUUCAUCUGGUGCAAAACUAUAGAGUCUUCCUUUAUUCCUCUUUUAAGUUUUCAUCAAAAUAAUUGUUGUAAUAAGCACUGGAGACAAAAGGUAAUCUGAAAUGAAAUUUUAUUAUGUGUAAUAAAAUUACACAUUACACAUGUGUAAUCUACACAUUAUCUACAGAUGUCUGAAGUUUAUUUGUUUUUUAAGGGUGUCUCUUGAUUUUUUAAGCAUGCAAAGUGCCUAAAAUGUAGUAUUCACUGUUAGAUAAUACAACUUGUAUAUCGUAUACUAGUUAUAGCUAUUGAGAUAGGUUUUUAGUAUUGGAUUAUUGUUGUUCAAAGAUGUAAACAGAAAUAUAGUUUAGAUUUAGUCAGUCAAGGUGUUUACACUUCUUGUACACAGGUUCAUUUCCCCGUAUCAUGUUAAGAAAUCCUCAGAGUUAGACGUGUAAACAGAUCUAAUGUUGCAAGCAUCAGACCUAUGAAUGAGCUCACUAAAUUCAUUUAACUGAGGACAACUUAAUUAGUUCAUUUUUACUAUUCAGUCAGGCUAUAUUAAUAUUUAAUUUUAUACAAAUCAAACUGUUCUCAUUGGUUAAGAUAGGAAUAGAUAUACAUAAGUAAUUUAUCAUGUUUGGGUUUGUCUGCCAUUUUGUCAUGUAUCUGUAGUUAAUUAGUAUUUAAUUCAUGUUAGUAGGUGUUGCAAACGAAAAAGUAUAGUGUGCAGGGUGGCUGUUGUGCAAGAGAUGGCCUUGUUAGUUUAACGAUUUGGGUUCUAUUCUGGUUCCAUCUCACUUAAAUAGCUUAACAUAAAGCGUACUUGUCUUUUGAAAUAAACAGGAAUCUUGUUAUUCUUGAAAAUUGUUGAGUUACUUAAAGAUGUUUUGAAAUUGUUUUUUUAAGACUUUUUUUUUAACUUAGCAAAUUCAUAAUGAGCUACUUUAUUUAAAUAUCUUUAAAGAAAGAAAUAUUGGGAUAAUUAUUUUACGUUAGGAGUUUGCCUUUUUUUAUAUGGGAAAUGUGCACAAACUGAAACACUGAAAUAGUUUGCCAAACAUCAGGUAUGUCAACGAACACUAAUUUAUUGAAAAUGUAAAAAGAAAUCAUGAAUUAAUGAUUUUUAAGUAGUAUUUUCUGAUUACAAGAUUGUAAUAAGUCUAAAUCUGUAAUAAUGUAUGAUGGAAGAGGUUUAUUGUAGAUGGGAGGAUACGUGGUAAUAAUUAUGUAUGUCAAUUUACUGGAAACAAAAAACAAACAUUUCAUGUAUUUUUACUGGGAAAUUUAACCUCUAAAAAUAGUUUGUCCUUUAAUCUAUCCUAGAAAAUAGCAGUAACAAAUUGUACUUCAUAUUUAUACUAAGAAUAACAGGCUUUUGUUGACAGUCAAUAUAUGUAUAUCAGUGAAAUUAAAACAGAUCACUAAGAAAACACUUGGCAUGUAAGUUCCACUUAGAAAAAAACAAGCAUUUAUAUAGUUUUGGCAAGAGUAACACAGUUACAUGGGGAUGUGAUCAUAGAAAAUAUGGUAAUCAUAACUAUAACGAUACAAUGCAUAAAAUAAGAAAUACUGAACUUUUCGAUUACUCUUGUAUAAAUACUUUUUAAAACUUCUAAUACAGAAAGUUAUGGAUAAGAAUGUUCGACUAUUGGUAUUCUUAUCUGUAUGGCAAACUUGACAACAGAAUUGAUUGUGCUUUAUGCUCUUAACUCCCACUCACACUGUGAAGGACAAAAAGAAAAAAGUAUCAAAAGUGUAGCUGUAUGUGAAGUAGAACUUGUGCUUUGAUAGUAUGUUAAGUACAAAAAAUAUGCUGUUUUGAACUUUUUUGCCUUAGAUGUUUGAUUAGAUUUUUUUAAAGUUUAAAAUGUAUUUCUUUAGCUAAUAAUGUUACUAGUAAAAAUAAGUAAAUAUAUGAGGAAGGUGGAAUGAUAAUAUAUAUAUGUAUGUUUAGGUUUGGUAUAUGUUUUUUUUGUGUUUCAUAAAUUAGACAUGUUGAUGUGUACCUUUCAGAAUGUCCUGUUCGACUUUUAAUAAUUGUGGAAAGAUUUUGUAUUUAGCCUUAUUUCUUAUUAAUAAAAUUAGCUAAGAGAAUGAA